Molecule: ribosomal RNA, 253 nt
Filed under: uncultured bacterium
Lineage: Bacteria
Description: partial 16S ribosomal RNA
Rfam family: Bacterial small subunit ribosomal RNA
Source: RNAcentral
UACGAGCUGUGCGAACGUUAUUCGGAAUCACUGGGCUUACAGGGUGCGUAGGCGGCCUUUCAAGUCAGGUGUGAAAGCCCUCGGCUCAACCGAGGAACUGCGCUUGAAACUGAAGGGCUCGAGUCAGCUAGAGGUGCACGGAACUUCCAGUGGAGCGGUGAAAUGUGUUGAUAUUGGAAGGAACACCGGAGGCGAAAGCGGUGCACUGGGGCUGGUCUGACGCUGAGGCACGAAAGCCAGGGGAGCGAACGGG